Molecule: ribosomal RNA, 468 nt
Filed under: uncultured bacterium
Lineage: Bacteria
Description: partial 16S ribosomal RNA
Rfam family: Bacterial small subunit ribosomal RNA
Source: RNAcentral
GACGAACGCUGGCGGCGUGCUUAACACAUGCAAGUCGAACGGAAAGGCCCUUCUUGUGUGGUGUUCUCGAGUCGCGCACGUGUGUGUAACAUGUGUGUACCCUGCCCUUGACUUUGGUAUCACUUGGGGAAACUGGGUCUAAUACCGUAUGGGAGCUUCUGCUGCAUGGUGGGGUUGGAAAAUUUUCGGCGGUUGGGUGUGGACGCGGGGCUUAUCAGCUUGUUGGUGGGGUAGUGUCUUACAAAGGCUUUGACGGGUAGCCGGCCUGAGAGGGUGACCGGCAACAUUGGGACUGGGAACCGGCCAAGACUCCUCCGGGAGGAAGAAGGGGGGAUUAUUGAACAAUGGUCGAAAGCCUGUUGAGGCAACGCGGCGGGCGGGAGGACGGCCUCGGGGUGGAAAACCGUUUUCGCCAGUGACGAAGCGUGUGUGACGGUAAUGGGUAAAGAAGCACCGGCUAACUACGUG